This 253-nucleotide ribosomal RNA is filed under the name uncultured bacterium. Its description in RNAcentral is "partial 16S ribosomal RNA". It matches the Rfam family "Bacterial small subunit ribosomal RNA", at positions 524 to 776 of the family's 1533-position model. The record is from RNAcentral.
UACGAGGGGUCCUAGCGUUGUUCGGAAUCAUUGGGCGUAAAGCGGGUGUAGGCGGCUUAUCAAGUCAGAAGUGAAAUCCCUGGGCUCAACCCAGGACGUGCUUUUGAUACUGUUAAGCUUGAGUGCAAGAGAGGUUAGUGGAAUUCCUGGUGUAGUGGUGAAAUACGUAGAUAUUGGGAAGAACACCAGUGGCGAAGGCGACUCUCUGGACCGUUUCUGACGCUGAUGGACGAAAGCGUGGGUAGCGAACAGG